RNAcentral lists this ribosomal RNA (253 nucleotides) under uncultured bacterium. RNAcentral's name for it is "partial 16S ribosomal RNA". It matches the Rfam family "Bacterial small subunit ribosomal RNA", at positions 524 to 776 of the family's 1533-position model. The record is from RNAcentral.
UACGUAGGGGGCAAGCGUUGUCCGGAAUCAUUGGGCGUAAAGCGCGCGUAGGCGGCCCGGUAAGUCCGCUCUGAAAGUCCAGGGCUCAACCCUGGAAAGCGGGUGGAUACUGCCGGGCUAGAAUCCGGAAGAGGCGAGUGGAAUUCCUGGUGUAGUGGUGGAAUGCGCAGAUAUCAGGAGGAACACCAAUAGCGAAGGCAGCUCGCUGGGACGGUAUUGACGCUAAGGCGCGAAAGCGUGGGGAGCAAACAGG